RNAcentral lists this ribosomal RNA (85 nucleotides) under Lycium ruthenicum. RNAcentral describes it as "partial 5.8S ribosomal RNA". It matches the Rfam family "5.8S ribosomal RNA", at positions 72 to 154 of the family's 154-position model. From Rfam's summary of the family: 5.8S ribosomal RNA (5.8S rRNA) is a component of the large subunit of the eukaryotic ribosome. Lineage: Eukaryota; Viridiplantae; Streptophyta; Magnoliopsida; Solanales; Solanaceae. The record is from RNAcentral.
AUGCAGAAUUCCGUGAACCAUCGAGUCUUUGAACGCAAGUUGCGCCCGAAGCCAUUAGGCCGAGGGCACGUCUGCCUGGGCGUCA